This 482-nucleotide ribosomal RNA is filed under the name uncultured bacterium. RNAcentral describes it as "partial 16S ribosomal RNA". It matches the Rfam family "Bacterial small subunit ribosomal RNA", at positions 28 to 523 of the family's 1533-position model. The record is from RNAcentral.
GAUGAACGCUGGCGGCGUGCUUAACACAUGCAAGUCGAACGAUGAAGCCCAGCUUGCUGGGUGGAUUAGUGGCGAACGGGUGAGUAACACGUGAGUAACCUGCCCUUAACUCUGGGAUAAGCCUGGGAAACUGGGUCUAAUACCGGAUAGGAGCGUCCACCGCAUGGUGGGUGUUGGAAAGGUUUAUCGGUUUUGGAUGGACUCGCGGCCUAUCAGCUUGUUGGUGAGGUAAUGGAUCGCCAAGGCGGCGACGGGUAGCCGGCCUGAGAGGGUGACCGGCCACACUGGGACUGAGACACGGCCCAGACUCCUACGGGAGGCAGCAGUGGGGAAUAUUGCACAAUGGGCGAAAGCCUGAUGCAGCGACGCCGCGUGAGGGAUGACGGCCUUCGGGUUGUAAACCUCUUUCAGUAGGGAAGAAGCGAAAGUGACGGUACCUGCAGAAGAAGCACCGGCUAACUACGUGCCAGCCGCCGCGGUAA